UGUGCUGGUCGGAAUUGUAGCCUCGGUUGGGUUAUAGUAAUAAAUAGAUUAUGGUUGGGUUGGGUUUAGUAAUAAAUUGAUAAGAAAGGUUUAGUAAUAAAUAUAUUAUGGUUGGGUGAUAUGAAUGGUGAUAGUUGCUUCUCUUCCGGCUUCUCUUCUAUAAAAUACUUUCUUCUUCUCCUUUCUUUUGUAAAACACUUUCAUCUUCUUUCCGGCUUCUCUCCUCUCUUCUAUAAAACACUCUCUUGACACACUCGGAUAUGGAUUCUAAUUCAUAUAGUCGAGGUCAAACUUUGUUGACCUUCUCCACAGUCAGCAAGACACUGUCUUUGGUUUUGUUCUAGACAGUGUCGAACAAUUCCAUGUGUUUGGAACUCAAGCUUCUCCCAUCCCAAGUGAAGAACCUGUCGAAGAGCGUAGG
This 421-nucleotide long non-coding RNA is filed under the name Brassica napus (rape). RNAcentral's name for it is "long non-coding RNA (BNAP_LNC017879)". Lineage: Eukaryota; Viridiplantae; Streptophyta; Magnoliopsida; Brassicales; Brassicaceae. The record is from RNAcentral.